RNAcentral lists this unclassified non-coding RNA (343 nucleotides) under Hevea brasiliensis (rubber tree). Lineage: Eukaryota; Viridiplantae; Streptophyta; Magnoliopsida; Malpighiales; Euphorbiaceae. The record is from RNAcentral.
AUAGAGAGAAUUCAUGAGGGAGAAGAACACAAUUCACAAUAUCAUUCAAGAUGAAAAUCUGGAUUGCAACCAUAGCUCAUAUAGCCAGCUCAAAAUAAAAGACUCGUAACCAUCUUUCCUAAACCCAAGUAAAGCAUGGCACGUGUCCUAACUACUUCAACAAUUUCAGCUGGCAUAUUCUCGUAUCAACAUGGUAGCAUGAAACAAAUGACAUAAUCCAAAUUGCAAAAUGUUUGAUGUAACGGGGAUGUAUUUCAGCUAUAUGAUCUCUCUUUGUUUUCCUCAUAGAAGAUUCAAUAACUUGCAUUUGUUAUGUGCUAGAUGUUGGAGGUCAGGAACUUUC